UACGGAGGGUGCGAGCGUUGUCCGGAUUUAUUGGGUUUAAAGGGUGCGUAGGCGGUUUAUUAAGUCCGUGGUGAAAGGCGCUGGCUCAACCAGCGAACUGCCAUGGAUACUGUUAGACUUGAGUGUGGACGAGGGCGGCGGAAUAGAUGGUGUAGCGGUGAAAUGCAUAGAUACCAUCUAGAACCCCGAUUGCGUAGGCAGCUGCCUAGGCCACAACUGACGCUGAGGCACGAAAGCGUGGGGAGCGAACAGG
This 253-nucleotide ribosomal RNA is filed under the name uncultured bacterium. Its description in RNAcentral is "partial 16S ribosomal RNA". It matches the Rfam family "Bacterial small subunit ribosomal RNA", at positions 524 to 776 of the family's 1533-position model. The record is from RNAcentral.